GGCUUGUUGGUGGAUGGUCCACACCUGCUUCUUGUGAUACAUAUCUGUACAAUAGCCAGCCGGAAAUGCCUGUUCGAACCAGGCCUGAGCCA
Molecule: non-coding RNA, 92 nt
Organism: Mycena latifolia
Lineage: Eukaryota; Fungi; Basidiomycota; Agaricomycetes; Agaricales; Mycenaceae
Source: the annotation of a GenBank genome assembly